UACGGGGGGGGCAAGCGUUGUUCGGAAUUACUGGGCGUAAAGGGCGCGUAGGCGGCCUGCUAAGUCGGAUGUGAAAUCCCUCGGCUCAACCGAGGAACUGCAUCCGAUACUGGCGACCUAGAGUCCGGAAGAGGUUAGUGGAAUUCCCAGUGUAGAGGUGAAAUUCGUAGAUAUUGGGAAGAACACCAGUGGCGAAGGCGGCUAACUGGUCCGGUACUGACGCUGAGGUGCGAAAGCGUGGGGAGCAAACAGG
RNAcentral lists this ribosomal RNA (253 nucleotides) under uncultured bacterium. RNAcentral describes it as "partial 16S ribosomal RNA". It matches the Rfam family "Bacterial small subunit ribosomal RNA", at positions 524 to 776 of the family's 1533-position model. The record is from RNAcentral.